AUUAGUUAGACAACUGAAUUACUAAUCUUUAUUAUUAUUGCAACAAACACACGGAUUACACUAAAAGCUAGUGAAUCAUACACUUGCAGAUGACUUAUCCAAACACAAAGAUAAGACAUGAUUUUAUUAUUAUUGCUAUAAACACACGAAUUACAACGAAAUUCAAAAACUAAAAACAAGGAAAAAAGUAGUGAUGAAAACCAAUGCCACUUCCGGGAACACGAUUGCAUUCGCACAUGCAACAAGCCUUUUAAACCCAUAGGUGACCCAAAUGGGACGAGUGAAGUCUCGUGAGGGUUUCCAGAGACGUUACCCACAAACAUCAUGCAUACGGAUCAUCAACAUCUGACUUGGGAGACUGAGUAGAUAUCCACCCCUCCAGCAUCAGGUUGUUUUUGGUUAAGGCGUAAUUCGAAUCUGUUUUCAAUGAACGGCCUGGUUAUGAGAUCGCUUUGCAAGUGACGUAAUCGGCAGCGCGUGAUUAGGUUGUUGCUGUCAGGUGGUCCGACAGGCUCGACCUUGAACAAUGUGCAAGCCCAAUUGUCUUUGGUUUCAUUUCGGUCAGCAGCUGCGGCCAGGACCAAUAGCUUGUUUUGGUCCACCCUUCUCAAGUAGUUGCCAUUGUAGGAGCAUUUGAUAUGCACGUAAUUCUUGUCGGCGUAGUCCUCAUUGUUUGGCUUCUCGGUGGUGAACUUUAUGAACCUGCUGUUUUCAUUGUCCUCGGAAAACUGGACAAUCUCAUUAAGGUCGCUUUCUGCAUCAAGUUGAUAGCGCAAAUACUUGUUGUUGAUAUCUGCUUUCAGCAGAAAAGGGCUUGGUAGUACAGGUGGAGCCAUAUCGUAUAGUGUAGUUGGGAUUGGGAUGCUCUCUCUUUUUAAUUCUCUGUUGAUGAUCUAAUUUGCUUGCUGUGAAUGUGAUGCUUAGUUUAAACCUGCUAUCCUAUUUAUAAGAAAUUAAGCACAAGCUAGCUCAAGUUAUGGUCUUUAAUUAAUAUUAAUUUCGACAAAUCAGUUUCCCAUCUCUUUCAUUGAUAUGAACAUGGCUGAUCUCAUUGGUGUGGCGCAAUAUUUGUUAAAUUAGCCGUUCGGGUUGAUUUCUUUGUACAACUCAUCUGCCAAUUCUACAACUUGUAGACCUAAUUCCCAGUACAAAAUUAAAAAAAAAUUAAAAUCCAAAACUAAUAUAAGAUAAAUAAAGACUUUUUAUAUCAUAAAAUAAGACUUUCUAACUUGUAUACAAGACUAUAGUGACAAGAUCAAACACAUUGAUGGGUGCGCAUUUUCCAUCAACAUCUGUUCUGUGUGUUUAAACUGACCGUGGAGUCUUUUUAGCAAUUAAAAGUUUUGUAUCAUGUAAUUGUCUUGGUUUGAUAAGACCUACAUCUAGAUGAGUUGCUUCUGAAGACUAAUGUAAAACUUUAUGUUGAUAUUUCUUGAGGGUGAAACAUCGUUUGAGAAACGUGUAGGGCCUCAUUACAAUGUUUUCAUUUAGUUUUUAACUUUUGGUUUAAAUAUUCUACUAUGAAUAAAUUUGUGGCUUUAAUAACUAGUAAAACCACUUUCAAAUAUCUUAGUAUCGGCUUUCAGAACAAAGGGGUUUGCUAGUACAGGUGGAGCCAUGUUGUAUAGUGUAGCUGGGAUUGGGAUGAUCUCUCUCUCUUUUUUGUUUUUUGUUUUUCCUUUAAUUUGCUUGCUUUGAAUGUGAUGCUCAGUUCAAACCUACUAUCCUAUUUCUAAGAAAUUAAGCACAAGCUAUCUCAAGUUAUGGACUUUAAUUAAUAUUAAUUUCCUCAAUCAGUUUCCCAUAUCUUUCAUUGAUACGAACAUGGCUGAUCUCAUUGGUGUGACGCAAGAUUUGUUAAAAUAGCGAUCGGAUUGAUUUUUCUUUGUAUAACUCUUCUGCCAAUUCUGAACUUGUACAUAUAAUUCCCAUUAUAAAAUAAAUAAAUAAAAUUCAAAACUCAUAUAAAAUAAAUAGAGACUUUUUAUAGCAUAUAAAAUAAGACUUUGUAACUUGUACAUAGUUACUGAUAACAUUCAUCUAAGAACUAACAGAUGAAUGUAUGCAAGCAAUAUUGAAGAAAUACAGAGAGAAAGAUCGAAAGGAAUAGAGAGAGAAAUAGAGAAAGAAAUGAGUGAAAGCUUUGUUAUUUCAUAAGAACAAAAGAUCAUCACAAAAGAACCCUGAUUCCUUCUUAUAUAGUCUGCACAUGUAGCUUAUCAGCUAAGCCACCUGUGUAACUAAUUCUUAACAAACUAACUAACUCCAAUAGCUGAUAUGGCACUUAUGAUGAUGUGUCAAUCACUAUAUAUCUUCAACAUCCCCCCGCAAUCUCAACUGGGAUUUUCUAGCUUGAGAUUGUAAAAAUGUUAGACAAAUGAAGGACUGUGAAGACCUUUGGUAAGAACAUCGGCAGUUUGCUCCUCAGUUGGGAUAUACAACACCUCCAAAUCGCCUUCAUGCACUCGUUCUCGUACAAAAUGGUAGUAUGUAUUAAGGUGUUUAAUUCUUGAAUGAAACACCAGAUUAGCACUUAAGGCAAUAGCGGACAUAUUGUCACAGUGAAUCGUUGGUGGAGCAUCCAAAAAUACACUCAAAUCCUUCAAUAUAUUUCGAAUCCAAGCUAUAUCUGCGGCAGUAUGUGCUAAGGCUUUAUAUUCAGCCUCAGUAGAACUCCUGGAUACCGAGUUUUGUUUCUUCGAUUGCCAAGAAAUUGGAUUACUACCCAAGUACACGACAUAACCAGUGAUAGACUGACGAGUAUUCAAGUCUGUAGCCCAAUAAGAAUCAGAAAACGCAGUAAGCUUUGAAACUGUGUUUGCAGAAAAAGCAAUACCAAUGUUCAUGGUUUCUUGAAGAUAACGAAUGAUUCAUUUAACAACGCCAAAAUGAACAUCAGUUGGUGAGGACAUAAACUGACAUACUGUGUUUACAGCAAAGGCAAUAUCAGGCCUAGUAAAGGUCAGAUAUUGUAAAGAUCCCACAAUACUUAUGUAAAAGGUUGGAUCUGUCAAUAAUUGUCCCUCAGAGUGUAACAUUUGAUAAUGAGGUUUACAAGGUGUGGUUGCUGGUUUACAUGAUUCCAUACCUGCUUUAUGGACGAGAUCUUUGAUAUACUUAGACUGAUUAACAAAAACACUGCCAUUUGCUUUAUAUUGAACUUGUAAACCCAAAAAAUAUGUAAGUUGUCCCAUAUCCUUUAACUCGAAUACCUCAGAUAAUUAUUGAAUCACUUUUUGGAUCUUCAAAGGAUUAGAACCAGUUAAGAUGAUAUCAUGAACAUAAAGUAAUAAGAUAAUGAUAUCAGAGUCAUCCUUCUUGACAAACAAACUUGUAUCAGAAGUUGAUGCAUGAAACUCCAUAACUGUCAAAUAACUUGUAAACUUCGAAUUCCACACUCGUGGAGCCUGUUUCAAGCCAUAUAAUGACUUGACCAAUUUGCAAACAUGAGAAAGAUAUGAUGUAUCAAUAAACCCUUAUGGUUCCUGCAUAUAAACUUCUUUUUGUAAAUCCCCGUGUAGAAAAGCGUUCUUGAUAUCUAAUUGGCGAAGAGGCCAAUGAUUCAUUGCAGCUAAAGAAAGAAUAAUCCUUACAGUAGUAUGUCCGACAACAGGACUAAAUGUGUCCAAGUAGUCAAUACCAUGUUCUUGGGAGAACCCUUGAGCUACAAGCCUUGCUUUAUACCUGGAGACACUGCCAUCAGAGUUUUUCUUCACUUUUUGUUCUGUCUUCAGGUGCAGGAACCAAUAGCCAAGUUCCUUGUGCUCGAAGUGAAUCAUAUUUCUCCUGCAUUGCCUUUUGCCACUGUGAAAUAGUAGGAGCUUUCCGAAAUGUCUUAGGUUCUGAAGCAUCAGUGAUCUCAGAAAGAAAGGAAUAGCCACCCGUGAAAGGUUCUUCAUCAGUGAUUUGGAGACAACAAAGCUCAGGACAUUGUGCUACUAAAGCAGCAUAAUUUUGUCCCUCAAUUGUUCCACUCUUCAAUCUAGGGACCAUUGAGUGAGUCAAUGGUGUAGUAUGUAAAAUGAGAUCAAAUAGAGAUAAAUCAGGAAGGAUUACCUUAAGUUGUGACUUAGAGUGGACAAGCAACAAGGAUUGUGUACCAGAGUGAUGAUGUGUAGGAGAGUGAUGAUGUGAAGAGUUUGGAGAUGCAUAUAGAAGAUUGGUUUCAGUCGAAUUUGUAUCUUGAUCACUAGGUUGAAUCACUUGUGUAUUGUCCGAACUAGAAACAUUCAAUUAACCAACCACAUAUAUACUUUCACAAUUUGCAGGAAUACUGUGAUGUGAACCAGUAUCAUUUGCUGAUAUAUGUAUAGAACUAGCUGCUUGUGAAUCAUGCUGUAUUUAUGUAUGAGGCAGGACUCUUGCACUUGGAACUUGUAACUGAAUCAAAACAGGUGUCUGAGAACACCUAUAUGUAGCUGUAGAAUCCUUAGAUGGCAAAACUUGUUUAAACGGAUAUACAUCUUCAUCAUGUAGUACAUGCCUUGACAGAAUGAACUUUCUAGUCUUGAUAUCAUAACAAAUAACUCCUUUAUAUCCAUGAGCAAAACCAAGAAAUACACAUUGAGCUGACCGUAGCUCCAAUUUAUUCUUAUUGAAUGAUCUUAUCAAGAUAGAGCAGCCAUAAGAAACUCUUAACUUUGGAGGAAUAUGAAGUUUCCAAAUGAGAUUCCAUCGCCGGAAAAGCACAAGGCCUAAUGGCCCAAAAGUAAGCAGAUUUAACUGAAAAAUUACCAUCAUUUAUUCCACUUCAGAUACACUUGGCAGUCAAAGCAUCAAAACUAAUUGGAAUGCUAAGAAUUUGUUCAACCACCUCUUUAGUAAAACAAGUAAUAGUGGAUCCAAACCAUUAUUGUAACAAUAGUUAGCUACAGUAGCCUUAUAUGUAUUGUCGGCGUUACCACACAAUCCCGAUAUACGUCCAGGAUCGACAUGUGAUCUCAUCAAAUACUCAUAUCUCUAACUUACCCCACCUCCGGAAUAUGGCAAAGUGAUGAGUCAAUAUUUACCAUAUAUUUUACCCUAAUCUUAGUAUUAAUUUAUUAAUUAUUUUGGUAGAAUUUUGAUACUUUGUUAUAUAUUUCUAACAUAGGACAUUCGACUUCAUCUGGAGAAAAAAGUAACCAAACGGAUGAUUUUUGGAGUGAUUCCAAUUGGAGGAUGUUUGUGAGUCUUUCGAGAUGAUUAUAUCAAAAUUCCAAAUUUUUCUACCUAGCCGUUUGACCGUGGCAAUGAAAUUAAGGCCCUGCGCGCAGCUUUCUCAGAUUGACAUUUCAGGACAUUUCGGGACAUUUUUUCAAUUCGGUUCGGUUUUUUUGUUCGGUUCGGUUUUUUCGGUUUCGGUUCGGUUUGGUUUUCGGUUUUUUUCGGUUUUCGGUUUUUUGAACCCACCCCUAAUUGUCACUGAUCGAGACUUAGCAAACUAAACUGAAAUAUAUUGAUUGCAAGGCAAGAGUACAAUUGUAAAAACAAGGUUUACUUUUUAAUGGAGGUUGUGUAGGAAAAAUUACAUUCAAAUUCAUUGCGGACCUCUUUUUUUUCUAAGACCAAAUCAAAGAAAAAAAUAAUUGAAUCAAUGAAUUACUAUAGCAGCUCCAUUUCUGACAAUGGCAAGAGGUCUCUGUGCUAAUCAAACUACCCGAAAUUUAUCCUAAAACUAUACUCGAGCUCCACCUUAUCUGCAAUCUCAAAUGCCUUCUCAAUAUCAUUUCAUGAUAAACCUGCUAUCCUAUUUAUAAGAAAUUAAGCACAAGCUAGCUCAAGUUAUGGUCUUUAAUUAAUAUUAAUUUCGACAAAUCAGCUUCCCAUCUCUUUCAUUCAUAUGAACAUGGCGCAAUAUUUGUUAAAUUAGCUGUUCGGGUUGAUUUCUUUGUAUAACUCUUCUGCCAAUUCUGCAACUUGUAGACGUAAUUCCCAUUUCAAAAUUUUAAAAAAUAAAAUAAAAUCCAAAACUAAUGUAAGAUAAAUAAAGACUUUUUAUAUCAUAAAAUAAGACUUUCAAACUUGUAUACAAGACUAUAGUGACAAAAUCAAACACAUUGAUGGGUGCGCAUGUUCCUUCAACAUCUGUUAUGUGCGUUUAAACUGAGCGUCGAGUCUUUUUUAGCAAUUAAAAGUUUUGUAUCAUGUAAUUGUCUUGGUUUGAUAAGACCUACAUCUGGAUAAGUUGCUUCUGAAGACUAAUGUAAAACUUUAUGUUGAUAAUUCUUGAGGGUGAAACAUCGUUUGAGAAAUGUUUUGGACCUCAUUACAAUUUUUUCAUUUAUUUUUUAACUUUUGGUUUAAAUAUUCUACUACAAAUACAUUUGUGGCUUCAAUAACUACUAAAACCACUUUCAAAUAUCUUAGUAUUGGCUUUCAGAACAAAGGGGUUUGGUAGUACAGGUUGAGCCAUGUUGUAUAGUGUAGCUGGGAUUGGGACGAUCUCUCUCUUUAUUUAUUUAUUUUUUUCCUUUAAUUUGCUUGCUUUGAAUGUGAUGCUCAGUUCAAACCUACUAUCCUAUUUCUAAGAAAUUAAGCACAAGCUAUCUCAAGUUAUGGUCUUUAAUUAAUAUUAAUUUCCUCAAUCAGUUUCCCAUUUCUUUCAUUGAUACGAACAUGGCUGAUCUCAUUGGUGUGACGCAAGAUUUGUUAAAAUAGCUGAUCGGAUUGAUUUUUUCUUUGUACCCGAGAAGAAAUGCAGGAAGGAGGAAUUUAUAAAGACAACGGAUACCUGCUCUUCGCUGCAAAAAACGACACUUAAAAGGACAAUUUUCCCGAGGUUUUCACCGCUGUUUUUACCGUUUGCUGCCAAAAACAAAUACUCUCCCCUUGCGAGCUCCGUUGUCAAUUCCCCUCGCGAACUUUGAGUCCCUCUGAAAAAAUGAUUAAGUGAAAUUUGAAUUUUUCAAACUUUGUGUUUGGUUAUAUCUAACAAUCCCUAAUUCCAAAUUUAUGGUUUAGAUAUAUAAAAAAGAUAUCUCGGGUACUUCAUUGCUAUCCAUUAAGCUCCCCACUUUCAAACAAAGCAGAAAAUUCUAAUUGAGUUGGGUUUUGAACAUGCAGAUUAGUUAGACAACUGAAUUACCAAUCCUUAUUAUUAUUGCAACAAACACACGGAUUACACUAAAAGCUAGUGAAUCAUACACUUGCAGAUGACUUAUCCAAACACAAAGAUAAGACAUGAGUUUAUUGUUAAAUUGUGGCCAAGUGGCCAUCACCUUUUGUAUUAAACAAAUAAAAAGAAAAAAAAAAGGGAGACAUCAUGAUGUUGUUUCUUACUUUGUGAUAAUGACAAAUGAUGAUGUUGGAGAAUUAUUUUUUAUUUGGCCCAUGUGGGAAGUCACGGGGUGACUUGAAGGAUUUAUUUAGCAGCAAUUGCUGCUUGUGUGGUUAAGAGAAGAAAACAGAGAGCAGAAGAAAAAGGAAAGAGAGCUGCCGAGAGCAAGAGAGUUGCAGAGAGCCCAAACAGAAAAAGAAGCUGCUGCUUCAUUUGAUUAGUAAUCAUCAACCAAAGUAGUUGUUGUUGUAAUAGUUUUGAGCUAUAUGUAUAGAGAAGAAAUUAUUCAUUAUAUUUCUUUCUCUAUUUGUUUCUUUGGUGUGUGAGAGUUAUUGGGUGUAUUGGGCUUUUGGGUUGUGAGAUUGUCAACACUUUGUAAACUCCCAUUUGGUUGAUAGUGGAUUAUUGGGUGAGCUCCUACUGCUCCGAGGACGUACUCCAGUUACACUGACUGUUGAGGAACCUCGUUAAAAUCUUGGUGUUCUUUUAUAUUUUGUUCUUGCAUUUUCAUUUGAUAAAUUUCCUGUGGGUUAGCUUGAGUUGGUUCCAACGGGUUUGGUGCUAUCCUAGCACAACAAUUGGUAUCAGAGCACUGGUUGCUCUUGGGUACUGUCUAGUUGCCAAAGAUGUCAGACGGGCAAGAUGAGAAUCCUUUUGGAAGCACCUCCGGGUUUGCAAGAACUACGGUGCAAAAUGCAAAGUUCGAAGUGGAAAAGUUUGAUGGCACAAACAACUUCGGGAUGUGGCAAUGUGAGGUCAAAGAUGUGUUGGCUCAACAAGAUCUACUUGCCGCUUUGGGAGAGAAGCCGGAAGCUAUGUCGAAGCCGGAAUGGGAGAAAUUAAAUUUGUGGGCUUGCUCUUCAAUUCGGUUGUGCCUUGCAAAAACUCAGAAGUAUUUUUUGUGAUGCGGGAGACAUUGGCAAGUGUGUGUGGCAAAAAUUGGAAGACAAGUAUAUGACGAAGAGUGCAGAGAACCGGCUACACUUGAAGAAAAAACUCUACCGCUUCCAAUACAAAGAAGGUACAAAAAUGAUUAGACACCUUGAUGCUUUUAAUAAGUUGAUUGCCGACUUGUUAAAUUUAGAUGAGGAUAUUAAGGAUGAAGAUAAGGCCUUAAUAUUGUUGAAUUCCUUGCCGGACUCUUAUGAGCAUUUUGUUACCACUAUUAUGCAUGGUAAAAAAACUGUGAAAUUUGAAGAUGUGUCAAAUGCCUUGAUGAAUUAUGAAAUGAGGCAUAGAGAUAAAAAUCAUGAUAGUACCUCUGAAGCUUUAUUUGUUAGAGGUAGAUCAUCGGAGAGGAGGUCAUCUUCUAGCAGGAAAAAAUCACAAUCUCGACCUAGAGGAAACUCUAAAGGUAGAAAACCUUUGGAAAGGGAUGAAUGUGCCUUUUGUCGUAAUAAGGGCCAUUGGAAGAAAGAUUGUCCUAAAUUGAAGAACAAAGGCAAAGAAAGUUCUGAAGCUAAUGUUGCUGAGGUUGAAACAGAUUUUUCUGAUUUUGCUUUAACCACUUCCUCAUCAUUUGAUUGUGCUACUAAGUGGGUGUUGGAUACGGGUUGUACUCAUCAUAUGACUCCUCACAAGGAUUGGUUUUCAAGCUUGAAAGAGUUUGAUGGUGGCGUUGUGUUCAUGGGAGAUGACAAUCCUUGCACAACAAAAGGGAUUGGUACAGUUCGUUUGAAGUUGCAUGAUGGCAUGGUUAAAGAGUUGACAGGUGUUCGGUAUGUACCGAAUUUGAAGAAAAAUCUUAUUUCUUUGGGUACUUUGGAAUCCAAGGGUUUCAGGUUUCAUUCAGAUGGACAGACAUUGAAAGUUACUUAUGGUGCACAUGUUGUGAUGAAAGCUCCUAGAUGUGGCCAUUUGUAUUUAUUGCAGGGAAGCACUGUGACAGGUGAAGCAUCUGUAGUCUCUGAAAAUAUGGGCACAUCUGAUUCAGAUACUACUAGAUUGUGGCAUAUGAGAUUAGGCCGUACCGGUGAGAAAGCUCUACAAGGGCUUGUGAAACAAGGUCUUCUAAAAGGUGCCAUGACUUGUAAGCUUGAUUUCUGUGAGCAUUGUGUCUUGGGGAAGCAAACUAGAGUGAAGUUUGGUACUGCUGUACAUCAGACGAAGGGCAUUCUUGAUUAUGUGCAUUCGGAUGUUUGGGGUCCUACAAAGACUCCCUCUUUGAGUGGUAGACAUUGGUUCGUGACCUUUGUUGAUGAUUAUUCAAGAAGGUCUUGGGUCUACACUAUGAAGCACAAGAGUGAGCUGUUAAGCAUUUUCUUGGGUUGGAAGAAAAUGGUUGAGAACCAGACUGGGAGAAAGAUUAAGAUUUUGAGAUCGGAUAAUGGUGGUGAAUACACAUCCGAUCCUUUCUUUAAAGUUUGCAAAGAGGAAGGAAUUGUGAGACAUUUCAGUGUUCGGGGAACUCCACAACAAAAUGGAGUUGCAGAAAGAUUGAAUCGAACCUUGCUUGAGAAGGUUAGAUGUAUGUUGUCUCAGUCGGGUUUAAGCAAGUCAUUUUGGGCAGAGGCAGUUAAUUAUGCAUGUCACAUCUCAACCGGUUACCCUCAGCUGCUGUUCAGGGUAAGACACCAAUGGAGGUAUGGACUGGAAAACCUUCUUCUGAUUAUGACUAUAUCCGUAUUUUUGGUUCACCUGCUUAUUUUCAUGUAACUGAAAAUAAACUUGAUCCAAGAGCCAAAAAGGCUAUCUUUCUUGGUUUUAGUAGUGGUGUCAAAGGUUACAGGUUGUGGUGUCCAGAGAUGAAAAAACUUGUAAUCAGCAGAGAUGUGACAUUUGAUGAAGAAAGUAUGUACAAAGUCUCUGAGAAGAAUGUGAAAGAUGUCCAACAGGUGGAGCUUGAGAAAGUUGCCUCUGAUACUUCAAAUCCUAUUUCCGCUGAUGUCGAAGCCACUACAAGUGAAGAAGUUGGAGACCAUGAGAAUGUUGAAGAAGUUGAACUUGAAGAUUCUAUUCAAGUUGAAGAGCAAGUUUCACCUCAAGAGUCUAUUGCUAAGAACAGAGGAAAAAGACAAAUUACCAAGCCAGCUCGGUACAGUGACUAUGUUGCUUUUGCUCUUCCUAUUAUCACUGAUGAGAUUCCAUCCAAUUUUGAGGAAGCUAUUGAGAGUGAGGAGAAGAAAAGGUGGUGCAAUGCCAUGGGUGAUGAAAUGAAUUCUCUCUUGAAGAACAAGACUUGGGAGUUAGCUAAAUUGCCUAAGGGCAAGAAAGCUAUCGGUUGCAAAUGGGUGUAUGCCAAGAAGGAAGAUGCUGAUGAGAAAAGCAAUGUGAGAUUUAAAGCAAGAUUAGUUGCUAAAGGGUAUGCACAAAAGGAGGGCAUUGACUACAAUGAAAUAUUUUCUCCAGUUGUGAAGCGCUCCUCAAUUCGUAUUAUGUUAGCUCUUGUUGCACAAUAUGAUCUUGAGCUUGUGCAACUUGAUGUGAAGACGGCUUUCCUACAUGGUGAUUUGAAUGAAGAGAUCUAUAUGUGUCAACCGGAUGGGUAUUGUGAAAGGGAAGGAAAAUUUGUUUUGCAAAUUGAAGAAAUCGCUUUAUGGCUUGAAGCAAUCUCCAAGGCAAUGGUAUUUGAGGUUUGAUAAAUUUAUGAGAGGCCAAAAUUAUUCUAGAAGUCAAUAUGAUCAUUGUGUGUACUUCAAGAAGUUGCAAGAUGGGUCUUUCAUUUAUUUAUUGAUAUAUGUUGAUGAUAUGUUGAUUGCCUCAAAGAAUGUUGAGGAGAUUGAGAAAUUGAAGAAACAAAUGAAGAAUGAGUUUGAGAUGAAGGAUCUUGGUGAAGCAAAUCCUUGGCAUGGAGAUCACUAGAGAUAGAGAGAAGGGUUUGGUCAGUUUGAAUCAAAGACAAUACCUUGAGAAGUUGAUUCGGAAGUUUGGAGUUCAUGAUUCAACCAAACCGGUUAGUACCCCUUUGGCUCCUCAUUUUAAAUUGAGUUCUCUACAGUGUCCUAAAACUGAUAAAGAGAAGCUGCAAAUGAAAAAUAUACCAUAUGCAAAUUUGGUUGGUAGUUUGAUGUAUGCAAUGGUAUGCUCUAGACCGGAUAUUGCUCAUGCAGUUGGCAUGGUGAGUCGAUAUAUGCAUAAUCCAGGUAAAGAGCACUGGCAAGCAGCUAAGUGGAUAUUGAGAUAUCUCCAUGGUACUCGAGAUGUUGGUUUAUGCUUUGAGAGAGAUGACUCUGGUAUUGGUCAUUUUGCAGUUGGUUAUGUUGAUUCAGAUUAUGCAGGUGAUCUGGAUGGAAGGAAGUCUACUACAGGCUAUGUGUUUACUAUGGCUAAAGGACCAGUUUGUUGGAGGUCCAUUUUGCAGUCGUCUGUUGCCUUGUCUACUACAGAGGCUGAAUAUAUGGCAGUUGCUGAAGCUAUAAAGGAGGCCAUUUGGAUACAUGGGCUGAUUAGAGAUUUGGGGGUUGAUCAGAAGCAGGUGGAGGUACAUUGUGAUAGUCAGAGUGCCAUUUAUUUGGCUAAGUAUCAGGUUCAUCAUGCGAGGACCAAGCACAUAGAUGUGCGUUAUCACUUUGUUCGUGAAAUUGUUGGUGAAGGGGAAAUCAUUCUCCAGAAGAUUCCAACUAAAGACAACCCCGCUGAUAUGUUGACUAAGGUUGUUGGUGUAGCCAAGUUUGUUCACUGUUUGAACUUGGCUCACAUUAUGCCUAUAUAAAGAAGGCGUUGAGCAGUAGGAGUUUUGGAGCAUUUGGCUCGGCAUGAGUUGUUCUCUUGCUAGUGUUCGGGAGUGAUGUUGUGUGCUAAUUGUGUUGGUUGGCUUAUCAUGGCGUUUUCGGAACUUGGCCAAGGUGGAGAUUGUUAAAUUGUGGCCAAGUGGCCAUCACCUUUUGUAUUAAACAAAUAAAAAGAAAAAAAAAAGGGGAGACAUCAUGAUGUUGUUUCUUACUUUGUGAUGAUGACAAAUGAUGAUGUUGGAGAAUUAUUUUUUCUUUGGCCCAUGUGGGAAGUCACGGGGUGACUUGAAGGAUUUAUUUAGCAGCAAUUGCUGCUUGUGUGGUUAAGAGAAGAAAACAGAGAGCAGAAGAAAAAGGAAAGAGAGCUGCCGAGAGCAAGAGAGUUGCAGAGAGCCCAAACAGAAAAAGAAGCUGCUGCUUCAUUUGAUUAGUAAUCAUCAACCAAAGUAGUUGUUGUUGUAAUAGCUUUGAGCUAUAUGUAUAGAGAAUAAAUUAUUCAUUAUAUUUCUUUCUCUAUUUGUUUCUUUGGUGUGUGAGAGUUAUUGGGUGUAUUGGGCUUUUGGGUUGUGAGAUUGUCAACACUUUGUAAACUCCCAUUUGGUUGAUAGUGGAUUAUUGGGUGAGCUCCUACUGCUCCGAGGACGUACUCCAGUUACACUGACUGUUGAGGAACCUCGUUAAAAUCUUGGUGUUCUUUUAUAUUUUGUUCUUGCAUUUUCAUUUGAUAAAAUUUCCUGUGGGUUAGCUUGAGUUGGUUCCAACGGGUUUGGUGCUAUCCUAGCACAACAUUUAUUAUUAUUGCUAUAAACACACGGAUUACAGCGAAAUUCAAAAACUAAAAAUAAGGAAAAAAGUAGUGAUGAAAACCAAUGCCACUUUCGCGGGAACACGAUUGAAUUCGCACAUGCAACAAGCCUUUUAAACCCAUAGGUGACCCAAAUGGGACGAGUGAAGUCUCGUGAGGGUUUCCAGAGACGUUACCCACAAACAUCAUGCAUACUGAUCAUCAACAUCUGCCUUGGGAGACUGAGUAGAUAUCCACCCCUCCAGCAUCAGGUUGUUUUUGGUUGAGGCGUAAUUCGAAUCUGUUUUCAAUGAACGGCCUGGUUAUGAGAUCACUUUGCAAGUGACGUAAUCGGCAGCGCGUGAUUAGGUUGUUGCUGUCAGGUGGUCCGACAGGCUCGACCUUGAACAAUGUGCAAGCCCAAUUGUCUUUGGUUUCAUUUCGGUCAGCAGCUGCGGCCAGGACCAACAGCCUGUUUUGGUCCACCCUUCUCAAGUAGUUACCAUUGUAGGAGCAUUUGAUAUGCACGUAAUUCUUGUCAGCGUAGUCCUCAUUGUUUGGCUUCUCGGUGGUGAACUUUAUGAACCUGCUGUUUUCAUUGUCCUCGGAAAACUGGACAAUCUCAUUAAGGUCGCUUUCUGCAUCAAGUUGAUAGCGCAAAUACUUGUUGUUGAUAUCUGCUUUCAGCAAAAAAGGGCUUGGUAGUACAGGUGGAGCCAUAUCGUAUAGUGUAGUUGGGAUUGGGAUGCUCUCUCUUUUUUAUUCUCUGUUGAUGAUCUAAUUUGCUUGCUGUGAAUGUGAUGCUUAGUUCAAACCUGCUAUCCUAUUUAUAAGAAAUUAAGCACAAGCUAACUCAAGUUAUGGUCUUUAAUUAAUAUUAAUUUCGACAAAUCAGUUUCCCAUCUCUUUCAUUGAUAUGAACAUGGCUGAUCUCAUUGGUGUGGCGCAAUAUUUGUUAAAUUAGCCGUUCGGGUUGAUUUCUUUGUAUAACUCAUCUGCCAAUUCUACAACUUGUAGACUUACUUCCCAUUACAAAAUAAAAAAUAAAAUAAAAUCCGAAACUAAUGUAAGAUAAAUAAAGACUUUUUAUGUCAUAAAAUAAGACUUUCUAACUUGUAUACACGACUAUAGUGACAAGAUCAAACACAUUGAUGGGUGCGCAUUUUCCAUCAACAUCUGUUCUGUGCGUUUAAACUGAGCGUGAAGUCUUUUUUAGCAAUUAAAAGUUUUGUAUGAUGUAAUUGUCUUGGUUUGAUAAGACCUACAUCUAGAUGAGUUGCUUCUGAAGACUAAUGUAAAACUUUAUGUUGAUAUUUCUUGAGGGUGAAACAUCGUUUGAGAAACGUUUUGGGCCUCAUUACAAUUUUUUCAUUUAUUUUUUAACUUUUGGUUUAAAUAUUCUACAAUAAAUACAUUUGUGGCUUUAAUAACUAGUAAAACCACUUUCAAAUAUCUUAGUAUCGGCUUCAGAACAAAGGGGUUUGGUAGUACAGGUGGAGCCAUGUUGUAUAGUGUAGCUGGGAUUGGGAUGAUCUCUCUCUUUAUUUAUUUAUUUAUUUUCUUUAAUUUGCUCGCUUUCAAUGUGAUGCUCAGUUCAAACCUACCAUCCUAUUUCUAAGAAAUUAAGCACAAGCUAUCUCAAGUUAUGGUCUUUAAUUAAUAUUAAUUUCCUCAAUCUGUUUCCCAUAUCUUUCAUUGAUACGAACAUGGCUGAUCUCAUUGGUGUGACGCAAGAUUUGUUAAAAUAGCUGAUCGGAUUGAUUUUUUCUUUGUAUAACUCUUCUGCCAAUUCUGAAAUUGUACAUAUAAUUCCCAUUAUAAAAUAAAUAAAUAAAAUCCAAAACUCAUAUAAAAUAAAUAGAGACUUUUGAUAGCAUAUAAAAUAAGACUUUGAAACUUGUACAUAGUUACGGAUAACAUUCAUCUAAGAAUUAACAGAUGAAUGUAUGCAAGCAAUAUCGAAGAAAUACAGAGAGAAAGAUCGAAAGGAAUAGAGAGAGAAAUAGAGAAAGAAAUGAGUGAAAGCUUUGUUAUUUCAUAAGAACAAAAGAUCAUCACAAAAGAACCCUGAUUCCUUCUUAUAUAGUCUGCACAUGUAGCUUAUCAGCUAAGCGUGUAACUAAUUCUUAACAAACUAACUAACUCCAAUAUCUGAUAUUUCACUUAUGAUGAUGUGUCAAUCACUAUAUAUCUUCAACAUCCCCCACAAUCUCAACUGGGAUUUUCCAGCUUGAGAUUGUAAAAAUGUUUGACAAAUGAAGGACUGUGAAGACCUUUGGUAAGAACAUCGGCAGUUUGCUCCUCAGUUGGGAUAUACAACACCUCCAAAUCGCCUUGCUGCACUCGUUCUCAGUUUAUAUCAAGGUGUUUAAUUCUGAAAUGAAACACCAGAUUGGCACUUAAGGCAAUAGCGGACAUAUUCUUACAGUGAAUCGUUGGUGGAGCAUCCAAAAAUACACCCAAAUCCUUCAAUAUAUUUCGAAUUCAAGCUAUAUGUGCCGCAGUAUGUGCUAAGGCUUUAUAUUCAGCCUCAGUAGAACUCCUGGAUACCGAGUUUUCUUUCUUCGAUUGCCAAGAAAUUGGAUUAUUGCCUAAGUACACGACAUAACUAGUGAUAGACCGACGAGUAUUCAAGUAUGCAGCCCAAUCAGAAUCAGAAAACGCAGUAAGCUUUGAAACUGUGUUUACAGAAAAAGUAAUACCAAUGUUCAUGGUUCCUUGAAGAUAACGAAUGAUUCGUUUAACAACGCCAAAAUGAACAUCAGUUGGUGAGGACAUAAACUGACAUACUGUGUUUACAGCAAAGGCAAUAUCAGGCCUAGUAAAGGUUAGAUAUUGUAAAGAUCCCACAAUGCUUCUGUAGGAGGUUGGAUCUGUCAAUAAUUGUCCCUUAGAGUGUAACAUUUGAUGAUGAGGUUUACAAGGAGUGGUUGCUGGUUUACAUGAUUCCAUACCUGCUUUAUGGACGAGAUCUUUGAUAUACUUAGACUGAUUAACAAAAACACUGCCAUCUGCUUUAUAUUGAACUUGUAAACCCAAAAAAUAUGUAAGUUGUCCCAUAUCCUUUAACUCGAAUACCUCAGAUAAUUAUUGAAUCACUUUUUGGAUCUUCAAAGGAUUAUAACCAAUUAAGAUGAUAUCAUCAACAUAAAGUAAUAAGAUGAUGAUAUCAGAGUCAUCCUUCUUGACAAACAAACUUGUAUCAGAAGUUGAUGCAUGAAACUCCAUAACUGUCAAAUAACUUGUAAACUUCGAAUUCCACGCUCGUGGAGCUUGUUUCAAGCCAUAUAAUGACUUGACCAAUUUGCAAACAUGAGAAGGAUAUGAUAGAUCAAUAAACCCUUGUGGUUGCUGCAUAUAAACUUCUUCUUGUAAAUCUCCAUGUAGAAAAGCGUUAUUGAUAUCUAAUUGGUGAAGAGUCCAAUUAUUCAUUGCAGCUAAAGAAAGAAUAAUCCUUACAGUAGUAUGUCGGACAACAGGACUAAAUGUGUCCAAGUAGUUAAUACCAUGUUCUUGGGAGAACCCCUGAGCUACAAGCCUUGCUUUAUACCUGGAGACACUGCCAUCGGGGUUUUUCUUCACUUUGUAUACCCAUUUGCUUCCUACAAUUGUUCUAUCUUCAGGUGCAGGAACCAAUAGCCAAGUUCCUUGUGCUCGAAGUGAAUCAUAUUUCUCCUGCAUUGCCUUUUGCCACUGUGAAAUUGUAGGAGCUUUCCGAAAUGUCUUAGGUUCUGAAGCAUCAGUGAUCUCAGAAAGAAAGGAAUAGCCACUUGUGAAAGGUUCUUCAUCAAUGAUUUGGAGUGAACAAAGCUCAGGACAUUGUGUUACUAAAGCAGCAUAAUUUUGUCUCUCAAUUGUUCCACUCUUCAAUCUAGUGACCAUUGAGUGAGUCGAUGGUGCAGUAUGUAAAAUGAGAUCAGAUAGAGAUAAAUCAGCAAGGAUUACCUCAAGUUGUGACUCGGAGUGGACAGGCAACAAGGAUUGUGUACCAGAGUGAUGAUGUGUAGGAGAGUGAUGAUGUGAAGAGCUUGGAGAUGCAUAUAAAUGAGUGGUAUCAGUCGAAUUUGUAUCUUGAUCACUAGGUUGAAUCACCUGUGUAUUGUUCGAACUAGAAACAUUCAAUUAACCAACCACAUUUAUACUUUCACCAUUUGCAGGAAUACUGUGAUGCGAACCAGUAUCAUUUGCUAAUAUAUGUAUAGAACUAGCUGCUUGUGAAUCAUGCUGUAUUUAUGUAUGAGGCAGGACUCUUGCACUUGGAACUUGUAAUUGAAUCAAAACAUGUGUCUGAGAACACCUAUAUGUAACUGUAGAAUCCUUAGAUGGCAGAACUUGUUUAAACGGAUAAACAUCUUCAUCAUGUAGUACAUGCCUUGACAUAAUGAACUUUCUAGUCUUGAUAUCAUAGCUAAUAACUCCUUUAUAUCCAUGAGCAAAACGAAGAAAUACACAUUGAGCUGACCGUGGCUCCAAUUUGUUCUUAUUGAAUGGUCUCAAUAGAGGAUAUAUUGCAGUACCAAAGACUUUAAGAUGUUGUACUUCAGGAACACAACCAAACACAACUUGAUAGGGAGAUUUCAUCUUCAAAUUUCUAGAUGGCAUCGUAUUGAUUAAGAAUGCAACAUGAGAACAAGCAUGAUACCAGAAAGCUGAAGGUAAUUGAGCAUCUAAUAGCAAACUAAUAGCAGUCUCAACUAAAUGUCUAUGUUUUCGUGUAGCAAGACCAUUUUGCUGUGGUGUAUGAGAGCAUGAAACUGGUGUAUAAUUCCUUUUAUCUCUAACAACUGUCUAAACACAUUACUCAUAUAUUCACCUCCACCAUUUGAUUGAAGAACUUUAACGGAAGCAUUAAACUGAUUCUCAAUAAAUGUCAGAGACUUGGUAAAGAUUGGAAAAGCAUCGGAUUUAUUAACCAUCGGAAAAAUCCAUACAAAUCAAGAGCAGUCAUCUACAAAGCUUAUGUAAUACCUAUAACCCUCUAUUAACCUCUGCAGUGAAGGACCCCAUAUAUCUGAAUGUAUCCUUUCAAAUACAACUUUUGACCUAUCGGGACUUACAGAGAAAGGCAACUUAGUCAUUUUUCCUUGAAUACAAGCAGUACAUAUAGAUGGAGACAAAUCUAUACUGGCUAAUACUUCAGACUUAUUCAACAUUGUAGUAAGCACUUCUUCAGAUGGAUGACCCAACCUUUUAUGCCAAACUGUAGUCUUUAGCUUCUUUCCAACAAAAGUUGCACAUCUUUCAAUACUUGGUACUCUGGAUCUUGACAACACUGUUAUUGGUAUCUUGAAGAGCUCCCCAUCAUCACUCUGGCCUUGGUACACAAUCCUUCGAGUUGCUUUGUCCUGUAUCAAGAAGAUCAGAUCAUCACAUACAAACCAGCAAUUAUUAUCUCUGCAUAAGUUCUUAACAGACAACAAAUUCAUUGUAAUGUGUAGAACAUGUAGCACAUUUUGCAGAAUUAAUGACUUUUGUUGAGUGUUAAGGACAGAGGAACCAAUAUUUUUAACCACCAAACCUUCUUCAUUACCAACAGUGAUCAUGGCAUCACCAUUAUAAGGAGUGAUAUAAUUUAAAACUUCGACAUUUGAUGUCAUGUGGUGAGUUGCACCUAUGUCAACUACCUAUGUAUCAGCAGCUAAAAAACCAUGGACAUUUGAGUCUUCAGUUGCAACAUUUGAGCCUUGAGCAGCCAUCCCAACAAGAGAUGUAGGUGGUGCACUGCCUUGAUAUGAGAAGUUAUUCCUAUGAAAGCAUUCCAAAGCCCGAUGACCUAUUUUCCCACAUAUCUGACAUACCAAGAUCCCUCCAGAUGAUUGAUUGUUAUCAGCUCUAAGGUAACAAUUUGGUGUUGUAUGGUCUCUUCUAGAACAAAUUUGACAUUCAGGAGAUAUAACAUUGCUGUAAUUUGUAUCACCAUUCCAAGUGUUUCCUUGUUUGCUUCCAUUACCAGAGAAAGAACUUUGAGAACCUCCAUUUGAACAUCUUUCCCAUUAUUCCCAAAAGUAGAAUAUGGCCUGUAAUUAUUAUUCCCACCAUUAUAACCACCAGAGAAUUUUCGAUUGUUCAAAUUAUUCCCAUUAUACCUCCUAUUAUUGUUACCACCAUUGUAAUUAUUCCUCCCUUGAGACCUCUAUGCAUUUGAACUCUCCCCUUGUUCAUAACUUUGAGUAUUGCCCUGAGAUUCCUGUGUAUUCGAGCCAUUGCCCUGAACAUACAUGGCAGCCAUAGAACUUGAUAAAGUUGUCAGUCUAGACUCAAUACUGCUUUCAGCCCUAAUUAGUUGAGCUCGAAAAUCUUUCAUUGAAAUCGGAGUGUCUCUUGCUAAGAUUACUGUCUUGAUCAUUUCAAAUUAUGGAGGUAAACUAGUUAAAGCAAUGACCAAAUCAUUCUCAGUGAUUUUCUCCCCUGCAGCAACCAGUUGAUCCUUGAUAAUCUUCAAUCGAAGCAAAUACUUGUCAACAUAAUCCGCACCUUUCUGUGUAGUAUGAAACUCAGUCUUGAGUUGAUUAACCCUGACAACAGAUACAGACGCAUAUCAUUCCUGUAAAGAUUUCCAAGCUUCUUGAGAAGUUUUACACCCAAUGACAUAGCCCAUAGCUUCAUCUGAAAGUGUAGCAAUCAGCAAACUCAAUAGAGAGACAUCUGUUUUAACCCAAUCUUUAUAUGCAGUAGUAAUUUCUUUAGUGACCCCAGUCUCAGUAUUGAUGACAAACUUUGGAGGACAUUGAGACUCCCCACUAAAGAAAUCAAAGAAAUCGUACCCCUUAAGCACCGACUGAAACUGAUAAUCCCAUUUGACAAAAUUAUCUUCUUUCAACUUAGCAGUGAUCAUGCCCAAAAGACUUUCAAUUUUCACAGAACUAAACACCAUAUUGUUGAUAGAAACUGAAUCAAGAAAUCAAGUACUCAAACAAUCUUCAAGAAUUAUAACAACUCCAAGAACACACACUACUGAUUAUCGGCCUUGUUCGUGUGAAAAACCCAACAAACACUCAAACAACAGCAAUGGCUAUCGGCCUUUAUGCUUUGACAGAAAACGUUUCAACAAUCAUUCAAUUAGAAAAAUGGCUAUCGGCCUUCAAUAUCAUACUCCAAACAUCAAGAAAUGGCUAUCGGCCUUCAAUAUCAUACUCCAAACAUCAAGAACUUGCUAUCGCCCUUCAACUUUCAGUCUUUCACAAAAGAUUCAUCAUUGCGACAAUUACACAAACACUUAGAGUGCAAAAAGAAAAAUAACACCUAAAAAACUCAAAGUCUAACUUCCCAAACGCCAAAAGCUCAUUAACCCACUAUACCACUUCACAGCAAUCAAGAUAAUCUUUUGGCACAGCACAGCGGAAAUACACACCACGAGAUCGAACACUUGGCGAAGAUACCAUGAUAACAUUCAUCUAAGAACUAACAGAUGAAUGUAUGCAAGCAAUAUCGAAGAAAUGCAGAGAGAAAGAUCGAAAGGAAUAGAGAGAGAAAUAGAGAAAGAAAUGAGUGAAAGUUUUGUUAUUUCAUAAGAACAAAAGAUCAUUACAAAAGAACCCUAAUUCCUUCUUAUAUAGUCUGCACAUUUAGCUUAUCAGCUAAGCCACCUGUGUAACUAAUUCUUAACAAACUAACUAACUUCAAUAGCUGAUAUGGCACUUAUGAUGAUGUGUCAAUCACUAUAUAUCUUCAACAGUUACAAGAUCGAACACAUUGAUGGGUUAUAUAUUUGGGGCUCACUACAAUUUUUUUCACUUAAUUUAGGUUUUGGCUUAAAUAUACCAUUCAAACUAAAUGUGUGGCUCAAUAAUUGGUAGAAACCUUUCCAAAUGCUUUAUAAAUGUUCUCUUAAUGAUAACGGAGAAUAUUUUGGGAAGACAACUUAUUUGAAUUUCUCACGAAAAUGUGGGUGCUCAUUAAUUUUAGUCGGCUUGGCAAUUUUGUAUAAAAAUCAUCAUUAAAUAUAGUAGUUUUCACCUUUGCCUCACCGCUAUAUUUCUAAAAGUAAUGUAAGACUUUCAGCCUUUGUUCAUUAGUGAGGAUCUUAUCAAGAUAGAGCAGCCAUAAGAAACUCUUAACUUUGGAGGAAUAUGAAGUUUCCAAAUGAGAUUCCAUCGCCAAUUAGGUAAAGCACUAGGCCUAAUGGCCCAAAAAUAUGCAGAUUUAACUGAAAAAUUACCAUCAUUUAUUCCACUUCAGAUACACUUGGCAGUCAAAGCAUCAAAACUAAUUUGAAUGCUAAGAAUUUGUUCAACCACCUCUUUAGUAAAACAAGUAAUAGUGGAUCAUGUAUUUGUCUUGGUUUGAUAAGACCUACAUCUAGAUGAGUUGCUUCUUAAGACUAAUGUAAAACUUUAUGUUGAUAUUUCUUGAGGGUGAAACAUCGUUUGAGAAACGAUUUGGGCCUCAUUACAAUUUUUUCAUUUAGUUUUUAACUUUUGGUUUAAAUAUUCUACUAUAAAUACAUUUGUGGCUUUAAUAACUAGUAAAACCACUUUCAAAUAUCUUAGUAUCGGCUUUCAGAACAAAGGGGUUUGGUAGUACAGGAGCCAUGUUGUAUAGUGUAGCUGGGAUUGGGAUGAUCUCUCUCUCUUUUUUGUUUUUUUGUUUUCCUUUAGUUUGCUUGCUUUGAAUGUGAUGCUCAGUUCAAACCUACCAUCCUAUUUCUAAGAAAUUAAGCACAAGCUAUCUCAAGUUAUGGUCUUUAAUUAAUAUUAAUUUCCUCAAUCAGUUUCCCAUAUCUUUCAUUGAUACGAACAUGGCUGAUCUCAUUGGUGUGACGCAAGAUUUGUUAAAAUAGCUGAUCGGAUUGAUUUUUUCUUUGUAUAACUCUUCUGCCAAUUCUGAACUUGUACAUAUAAUUCCCAUUAUAAGAUAAAUAAAUAAAAUCCAAAACUCAUAUAAAAAAAAUAGAGACUUUUUAUAGCAUAUAAAAUAAGACUUUGUAACUUGUACAUAGUUACAAGAUCGAACAAAUUGAUGGAUUAUAUAUUUGGGGCUCACUACAACUUUUUUUCACUUAAUUUUAGGUUGUGGCUUAAAUAUACCAUUCAAACUAAAUGUGUGGCUCAUUAAUUGGUAGAAACCUUUCCAAAUGCUUUAUAAAUGUUCUCUUAAUGCUAACGGAGAAUAUUUUGGGAAGACAAAAUAUUUGCAUUUCUUACGAAAAUGUGGGUGCUCAUUAAUUUUAAUUGGUUUUGCAAUUUUGUAUAAAAUCAUCAUUAAAUAUAGUAGUUUUCAUCUUUGCCUCACCGCUAUAUUUCUAAAAGUAGUGUAAGAUUUUCAGCCUUUGUUCAUUAGUGAGGAUCUUAUCAAGAUAGAGCAGCCAUAAGAAACUCUUAACUUUGGAGGAAUAUGAAGUUUCCAAAUGAGAUUCCAUCGCCAAUUAGGAAAAGCACAAGGCCUAAUGGCCCAAAAAUAAGCAGAUUUAACUGAAAAAUUACCUUAAUUUAUUCCACUUCAGAUACACUUGGCAGUCAAAGCAUCAAAACUAACUAAUUGGAAUGCUAAGAAUUUGUUCAACCACCUCUUUAGUAAAACAAGUAAUAGUGGAUCCAAACCAUUAUUGUAACAAUAAUUAGCUACAGUAGCCUUAUACGUAUUGUCCGUGUCACCACCCGAUCCCGAUACACGUCCAGGAUCGACAUGUGAUGUCAUCAAAUACCCAUAUCUCUAACUUACCCCGCCUCCGGGAUAUGGCAAAGUGAUGAGUCAAUAUUUUACCAUAUAUUUUACCCUAAUCUUAGUAUUAAUUUAUUGGUUAUUUUGGUAGAAUUUUGAUACUUUGUUAUAUAUUUCUAAUAUAGGACAUUCGACUUCAUCUGGACAAAAAAGUAACCAAACGGAUGAAUUUUGGAGUGAUUCCAAUUGGAGGAUGUUCGUGAGUCUUUUGAAAUGAUUAUAUCAAAAUUCCAGAUUUUUCUACCAAGCCGUUUGACCAUGGCGAUUAAGUUAAGGCCCAGCGCGCAGUUUUCUCAUAUUGACAUUUCUGGACGUUUUUUGUAUUUUGAAGAUCAAUAUGUCAUAUUUUGAGGAAGCUUUCUUCUGAGGAUUUGUAUGGGACAUCUCCAGCUUUCAAAAGAGACCUUUUGGGACCAAAUCGGAGUUGAUUUGGGUGGUCAGAAGUCUGAUUUUCUGAGAACUCCAAAUUCUUGUUCAAAUAGGAAACCUUUUAUUUUCUGUUUUAUUAUUUUAGUAUGUUUCAUAGUUUUAUUCUAAGACCUUUUAGGGUUUUAUUUUGUAUUAGUAUAAAUAAGAUAUUUAGCCAUUAGGGGAAAAGAGGAGAGAAUAGGAGGAGAACGCACACAGUACUUGGAGGAUUCAAGUUUAUUUUCAAGGUGUUUUAUAUCCAUGUUCUUAAUAAUAUUUUGUUUUAUGGUUGUUAGUAACUAGUUUCGUUUGCUAGGGCGAGGCCACGAUCCUUAGCAAGAAUAUGUAGUUUCUUUUCAAUCUGCUUAUGAUAUUAUGCAUGCAAGUUUUGAAUUAUUAAUCAUUGUGCUUUAAACUAUCUAAUUGUGUUGAUGAUUGGCCGCCAUUAGGAUAUUUAGAAAAGUAAUUUGAUGCAAUUUUGGCGGAGGGCUGUCCCUGGAAUUGGCGCUGGCUUCUUGUGGUUAAUAUGUGUAACUUCUUAGGAUGGACGACAUGUCUUAAGGGUUAUAUGGUUUUUCAAAAGGAUUUCACAAAACUUUAUGAGUUUUACAUGUUCACGUUUGAUCUGGACACCACAGAUGGGUUGCACGUUAAAUAUAGAUUCUAUGUUGGAGGUUCCAAGUAGGGCAUACUUUAGGAAAACCUAAUUAACCAUCAAAAUAUGCAUGUGUAUUUCAUAAGUAAUUGGAAGAACUAUAUAGGAUUGUUAAGGUGAUGGUGAAACCCUAGUGCUUAACUUUUUUCUUUGGUUUUCUUUACUUUCCCAAUUUAUAGUGGAUCCAAACCAUUAUUGUAACAAUACUUAGCUACAGUAGCCUUAAGUGUAUUAUCGGUGUCACGCACCGAUCCCGACAUACGUCUAGGAUCGACACGUGAUGUCACCAAAUACCCAUAUCUCCAACUUACUCUGCCUCUGGGAUAUGGCAAAGUGAUGAGUCAAUAUUUUACCAUAUAUUUUACCCUAAUCUCAGUUUGUUGGUUAUUUUGGAAGAAUUUUGAUGCUUUGUUAUAUAUUUCUAAUGUAGGAUAUUCGACAUCCUCGGGGGAAAAAAAGUAACCAAACAGAUGAAUUCUGGAGUGAUUCCAAUUGGAGAAUGUUCGUGAGUCUUUCAAGAUGAUUGUAUCAAAAUUCCAGAUUUUACUAUCAAGCUGUUUGAUCGUGGCGAUGAAAUUAAGGCCCACCGCGUAGCUUUCCCAGAUUGACGUUUCUGGACGUUUUUGGUAUUUUGAAGGUCAAGAUGUUAUAUUUAGAGGAAGAUUCCUUCUGAGGAUUUGUAUGGGACGUCUCCAGCUUUCAAAAGAGACCUUUUGGGACAAAAUCGGAGUUGAUUUGGUUGGUCAAAAGUCUGAUUGUCUGAUAACUCCGAAUUCUAGUUCAAAUAGGAAACCUUUUAUUUUCUGUUUUAUUAUUUUAUUAUGUUUCCUAGUUUUAUUCUAAGACCUUUUAGGGUUUUAUUUUGUAUUAGUAUAAAUAAGAUGUUUAGCCAUCAGGGUAAAAGAGGAGGAGAGAAAAAGAGGAGAACGCACAUAGUACUUUGGAGGAUUCAAGUUUAUUUUCAAGGUGUUUUCUUUCCAUGUUCUUAAUAAUAUUUUGUUUUAUGGUUGUUAGUAACUAGUUUCGUUUGCUAGGGCGAGGCCACGAGCCUUAGUGAGAAUAUGUAGUUUCUUUUCAAUUUGCUUAUGAUAUAUAUUAUGCAUGCAAGUUUUGAAUUAUUAAUCACUAUGCUUUAAACUAUCUAAUUGUCUUGAUGAUUGGCCACCAUUAGGAUAUUUAAAAAGGUAAUUUGAUGCAAUUUUGGUGGCGGGAUGUCCCUGGAAUUGGUGCUGGCUUCUUGUGGUUAAUAUGUGUAACUUCUUAGGAUGGACAACACGUCUUAAGGGUUAUAUGGUUUUUCAGAAGGAUUUCACAAAACUUAAUGAGUCUUGCAUGUUCACAUUCGAUCUGGACACCACAGACGGGCUGCAUGUUAGAUAUACGUUUUAUGUUGGAGGUUCCAAGUAAGGCAUACUUUAGGAAAACCAAACCUUCAAAAUAUGCAUGUGUAAUUCAUAAGUAAUUGGAAGAACUACGUAGGAUUGUUAAGGUGACGGCGAAACCCUAGUGCUUAAAUUUAUUUUCAAAAACUAUUUUCUUUGCUUUUCUUUACUUUCCCAAUUUAUUUAAUUGUUUUUAGUUCAAUUGGUUUUUAAUAUUUUAGGCCAUAAAACCAACCUCUUCUAGACUUUAUUUUCAAAUAAUUAAUUAAGAUUUGGUUUUAACAUAAAUUAUGGCUUUUUUUAUUAGCACCUCCUAAAAUGUUGAAUGCACCCCACAUUAAAAUUUAAUAUUAAAUGACUUAUUUACCCCACUAUGCAAUGACAAUUUUGACCUUAUUAGGUUUUAAAAAAAUAAAAUAAAAAUCUCUAAAUACACCCCAAAUCACUAAACCCUAUUAUUUAUCUUCUCAACUAUCAAAACCCUCUUACCCUCCAUUGUUGAACAAAACCCUAACCAAUGAAACUACAAACAUCUUGAUUGAGAAAAAUUGCUUUUGACGAAUGGAACACAAAAUCAAUGUUUCGGAGCCUUCACAUGAGGUAAGACUAUGUUUCAUCGGUGGUUUGGUUAAUUUCAUAUUCCUUUUUUUUUUCUUCCAUUGGUUAUUCAUUUUCUUCUUUGCAGGUUACAAAUCCAGCCAGUGAUCCUCUUAGAGUAGAUUUGGUUAUAUCCCUUGAAAUGAACAUUGGAGAGCGACAAAAUAUUUUGGAGGUUGGACCAGAAAAUGCAUCGCAGGUUUGUUGGCAUGUACCACUCUGCCUAUUGAUAUUGAGUUGUAUGGUUCUUAAAAUAAUUGAGGUGUAUGAUUCUUAGUAAAUAAAUGAGGAUUUGAUAAUAAUUUUUGGUGUAUUUAAAUACGAUAGCAUACAAGGCAAUACCUCUAUAGGGGACAAUGAGGUUGCAGCAACGAGCGUCGUUGAUCACACAAACGCAUUUAAAACAAACGAGGUAACUAUUUUUAGUAUAUUGAAUGUGCAUCUGUGAAUUUCAUGGAAAUUCUUGCAUUCUUUUAUUCAGCAUAGUGCAUUAGGUUCAUAAUAGGGAAUAACAUAUGGGUUGGAAUCUUAGCAUGUCUACAAACAUUUUGUUAGUGGCAAAUGGCAAUGAUCUUGUAUGUACAGGUGUUCAAAAGUAAAAAUGAUUUCCUUGAUUGGACUCGCGCACAAGGAAAAAAGAAUAAUAUGGUUAUUAUCAUUAAGAGGUAUGAUGCGGGAAAGGUUGACCGAAGGAGGAAGAGAGCUCGAAUAACAUUUGCUUGUGAGAGACAUGGCGAGUAUCGAUCCAUAUUGAGGAAGUCGGAUAUUAAUGACCAAAUUUCUGAUGCAAAUAAUAAGAAGAAUAAAGAACCCAGGAAUACUGGUACUAAAAAAUGCGGAUGUCCAUUUAUGUUGAAAAGAGUCAACGUUGGAGAAGGAGAUGAAUUGAAAUUGGAGGUUGAGUGUGGGGUGCAUAACCAUACUUAUUCACAGUAUCUUGAAGGGCAUUCUUUUGUCGGACGAUUAACUAAAGAGCAAAAUGAACUUUUAGUUGACAUGUCUACAAGUUUAGUGAGACCCAAAGUUAUUUUGAACACCAUAAAGAAAAAAGAUCCACUUAAUGUAACAACGAUGAGGACAAUAUACAAUGCAAGACACUAUCAUCGGACAAAAGAAAAAGCAGGGAGAUCAGAAAUGCAACAGUUGUUAUGUAAGUUGGUUGAGUACAACUAUAUUGAGCAUCAUCGAAGUAUUGGUGUUGAUAAUGCUGUUAGUGACUUGUUUUGGACUCACCCAAUUAAUGUCGAUACCUUACAUUGUUUCCCACAUGCACUUAUCAUGGAUUGCACGUACAAGACUAAUAGGCAUCGUUUUCCACUCCUGGAGAUUGUAGGGGUAACUUCAACUAGUAUUACAUUUUCGGUUACAUUUGCUUUCAUUGACCAUGAGAAGGAAGACAAUUACACAUGGGCAUUGACAAGAUUGAAGACUCUAAUGAAUGAUGAUUGUAUUUCUGGUGUGAUUGUCACUAAUCGAGAUCUUACAUUGUUUCCCACAUGUACUUAUCAUGGAUUGCAUGUACAAGACUAAUAGGCAUCGUAUUCCACUCCUGGAGAUUGUAGGGGUAACUUCAACUAAUAUUACAUUUUUGGUUGCAUUUGCUUUCAUUGACCAUGAGAAGGAAGACAAUUACACAUUGGCAUUGACAAGAUUGAAGACUCUAAUGAAAGAUGAUUGUAUUCCUAGUGUGAUUGUCACUGAUCGAGACUUUAGCAAACUGAACUCAAAUAUAUUGAUUGCAAGGCGAGAGUACAUUUGUAAAAACAAGGUUUACUUUUUAAUGGAGGUUGUGUAAGAAAAAUUACAUUCAAAUUCAUUGCGGAUCUCUUCUUUUUCUAAGACCAAAUCAAAGAAACAAAUAAUUGAAUCAAUGAAUUACUAUAGCAGCUCCAUUUCUGACAAUGGCAAGAGGUCUCUGUGCUAAUCAAACUACCCGAAAUUUAUCCUAAAACUAUACUCGAGCUCCACCUUAUCUUCAAUCUCAAAUGCCUUCUCAAUAUGAUUUCAUCAUAAACCUGCUAUCCUAUUUAUAAGAAAUUAAGCACAAGCUAGCUCAAGUUAUGGUCUUCAAUUAAUAUUAAUUUCGACAAAUCAGUUUCCCAUCUCUUUCAUUGAUAUGAACAUGGCUGAUCUCAUUGGUGUGGCGCAAUAUUUGUUAAAUUAGCCGUUCGGGUUGAUUUCUUUGUAUAACUCAUCUGCCAAUUCUACAACUUGUAGACUUAAUUCCCAUUACAAAAUUAAAAAUAAAAUAAAAUCCAAAACCAAUGUAAGAUAAAUAAAGACUUUUUAUAUCAUAAAAUAAGACUUUCUAACUUGUAUACAAGACUAUAGUGACAAGAUCAAACACAUUGAUGGGUGCGCAAUUUCCAUCAACAUAUGUUCUGUGCGUUUAAACUGAGCGUGGAGUCUUUUUUUAGCAAUUAAAAGUUUUGUAUCAUGUAAUUGUCUUGGUUUGACAAGACCUACAUCUAGAUGAGUUGCUUCUGAAGACUAAUGUAAAACUUUAUGUUGAUAUUUCUUGAGGGUGAAACAUCGUUUGAGAAACGUUUGGGGUCUCAUUACAAUUUUUUCAUUUAUUUUUUAACUUUUGGUUUAAAUAUUCUACUACAAAUACAUUUGUGGCUUCAAUAACUAGUAAAACCACUUUCAAAUAUCUUAGUAUUGGCUUUCAGAACAAAGGGUUUUGGUAGUACAGGUGGAGCCAUGUUGUAUAGUGUAGCUGGAAUUGGGAUGAUCUCUCUCUUUAUUUAUUUAUUUUUUUCCUUUAAUUUGCUUGCUUUGAAUGUGAUGCUCAGUUCCAACCUACUAUCCUAUUUCUAAGAAAUUAAGCACAAGCUAUCUCAAGUUAUGGUCUUUAAUUAAUAUUAAUUUCCUCAAUCUGUUUCCCAUAUCUUUCAUUGAUACUAACAUGGCUGAUCUCAUUGGUGUGACGCAAGAUUUGUUAAAAUAGCUGAUCGGAUUGAUUUUUUCUUUGUACCCGAGAAGAAAUGCAGGAAGGAGGAAUUUAUAAAGACAAUGGAUACCUGCUCUUCGCUGCAAAAAACGACACUUAAAGGACAAUUUUCCCGAGGUUUUCACCGCCGUUUUUACCGUUUGCUGCAAAAAACAAAUACUCUCCCCUUGCGAGCUCCGUCAUCAAUUCCCCUCGCGAACUUUGAGUCCCUCUGAAAAAAUGAUUAAGUGAAAUUUGAAUUUUUCAAACUUUGUGUUUGGUUAUAUCUAACGAUCCCUAAUUCCAAAUUUAUGGUUUAGAUAUAUAAAAAAGAUAUCUCGGGUACUUCAUUGCUAUCCUUUAAGCUCCCCACUUUCAAACAAAGCAAAAAAUUCUAAUUGAGUUGGGUUUUGAACAUGCAGAUUAGUUAGACAACUUAAUUACCAAUCCUUAUUAUUAUUGCAACAAACACACGGAUUACACUAAAAGCUAGUGAAUCAUACACUUGCAGAUGACUUAUCCAAACACAAAGAUAAGACAUGAGUUUAUUAUUAUUGCUAUAAACACACGGAUUACAGCGAAAUUCAAAAACUAAAAACACGGAAAAAAGUAGUGAUGAAAACCAAUGCCACUUUCGCGGGGAACACGAUUGCAUUCGCACAUGCAACAAGCCUUUUAAACCCAUAGGUGACCCAAAUGGGACGAGUGAAGUCUCGUGAGGGUUUCCAGAGACGUUACCCACAAACAUCAUGCAUACUGAUCAUCAACAUCUGACUUGGGAGACUGAGUAGAUAUCCACCCCUCCAGCAUCAGGUUGUUUUUGGUUGAGGCGUAAUUCGAAUCUGUUUUCAAUGAACGGCCUGGUUAUGAGAUCGCUUUGCAAGUGACGUAAUCGGCAGCGCGUGAUUAGGUUGUUGCUGUCAGGUGGUCCGACAGGCUCGACCUUGAACAAUGUGCAAGCCCAAUUGUCUUUGGUUUCAUUUCGGUCAGCAGCUGCGGCCAGGACCAAUAGCCUGUUUUGGUCCACCCUUCUCAAGUAGUUGCCAUUGUAGGAGCAUUUGAUAUGCACGUAAUUCUUGUCGGCGUAGUCCUCAUUGUUUGGCUUCUCUGUGGUGAACUUUAUGAACCUGCUGUUUUCAUUGUCCUCAGAAAACUGGACAAUCUCAUUAAGGUCGCUUUCUGCAUCAAGUUGAUAGCGCAAAUACUUGUUGUUGAUAUCUGCUUUCAGCAGAAAAGGGCUUGGUAGUACAGGUGGAGCCAUGUCGUAUAGUGUAGUUGGGAUUGGGAUGCUCUCUCUUUUUUAUUCUCUAUUGAUGAUCUAAUUUGCUUGCUG
RNAcentral lists this long non-coding RNA (29679 nucleotides) under Malus domestica (apple). RNAcentral describes it as "long non-coding RNA (MDOM_LNC008915)". The record is from RNAcentral. Lineage: Eukaryota; Viridiplantae; Streptophyta; Magnoliopsida; Rosales; Rosaceae.